Molecule: ribosomal RNA, 233 nt
Filed under: uncultured bacterium
Lineage: Bacteria
Description: partial 16S ribosomal RNA
Rfam family: Bacterial small subunit ribosomal RNA
Source: RNAcentral
UCCACGCCGUAAACGAUGAAUACUAGGUGUUGGAUGAGUUAUCGUUCAGUGCCGCAGCUAACGCAUUAAGUAUUCCACCUGGGGAGUACGAUCGCAAGGUUGAAACUCAAAGGAAUUGACGGGGGCCCGCACAAGCAGUGGAGCAUGUGGUUUAAUUCGAUGCAACGCGAAGAACCUUACCUAGGCUUGAAAUGCAGUGGACCGGUUGUGAAAGCAACCUUCUCUUCGGAGCC